Molecule: ribosomal RNA, 303 nt
Filed under: uncultured bacterium
Lineage: Bacteria
Description: partial 16S ribosomal RNA
Rfam family: Bacterial small subunit ribosomal RNA
Source: RNAcentral
AGCAGUCGCCACGGUAAUACGAAGGGUGCAAGCGUUACUCGGAAUUAUUGGGCGUAAAGGGCUCGCAGGCGGUUUCUUAAGUCUGAUGUGAAAGCCCCCGGCUCAACCGGGGAGGGUCAUUGGAAACUGGGAAACUUGAGUGCAGAAGAGGAGAGUGGGAUUCCACGUGUAGCGGUGAAAUGCGUAGAGAUGUGGAGGAACACCAGUGGCGAAGGCGACUCUCUGGUCUGUAACUGACGCUGAGGAGCGAAAGCGUGGGGAGCGAGCAGGAUUAGAUCCCCUGUAGUCCCUGUCUCUUAUACC